AAUGUAAUGAUCAGUUAGAGUAUGUUGUUGUGUUUAAAACACUGAGUUGAAGCUGUAUUUAUAGGUGCAAAACUUGGUCUUACCGUUGUCUAAUUGCCAUUUAAGAAAUGCUGAAUUUACUCAGUGAUAAUCGAUUGUCAAGACAAAACAAUCGAUUAUCUGCCAGUCAGAUCAAAAAUCAAUCCUAGAUUUAACGCUUCACAAUCGAUUAUACAUAAUCUAUAAUCGAUUACUGGCAAAAUUCAAAA
RNAcentral lists this long non-coding RNA (248 nucleotides) under Nicotiana benthamiana. Its description in RNAcentral is "long non-coding RNA (NBEN_LNC027504)". Lineage: Eukaryota; Viridiplantae; Streptophyta; Magnoliopsida; Solanales; Solanaceae. The record is from RNAcentral.